GACGAACGCUGGCGGCGUGCUUAACACAUGCAAGUCGAACGGAAAGGCCCUGCUUUUGUGGGGUGCUCGAGUGGCGAACGGGUGAGUAACACGUGAGUAACCUGCCCUUGACUUUGGGAUAACUUCAGGAAACUGGGGCUAAUACCGGAUAGGUGCUCCUGCUGCAUGGUGGGGGUUGGAAAGUUUCGGCGGUUGGGGAUGGACUCGCGGCUUAUCAGCUUGUUGGUGGGGUAGCGGCUUACCAAGGCUUUGACGGGUAGCCGGCCUGAGAGGGUGACCGGCCACAUUGGGACCGAGAUACGGCCCAGACUCCUACGGGAGGCAGCGGUGGGGAAUAUUGCACAAUGGGCGGAAGCCUGAUGCAGCAACGCCGCGUGCGGGAUGACGGUCUUCGGGUUGUAAACCGCUUUCGCCUGUGACGAAGCGCGAGUGACGGUAAUGGGUAAAGAAGCACCGGCUAACUACGUG
Molecule: ribosomal RNA, 468 nt
Filed under: uncultured bacterium
Lineage: Bacteria
Description: partial 16S ribosomal RNA
Rfam family: Bacterial small subunit ribosomal RNA
Source: RNAcentral